RNAcentral lists this long non-coding RNA (2699 nucleotides) under Sus scrofa (pig). Its description in RNAcentral is "lncRNA (ENSSSCG00055025870.1)". The record is from RNAcentral. Lineage: Eukaryota; Metazoa; Chordata; Mammalia; Artiodactyla; Suidae.
UCUCUACUUACUGUAAAAUGACAUGGUCCGUAUGUCCUGGGCACACAUUAAACAGGAUGGCAGGAGUCCCUGCGACAGUACUGGAUUACAUACUAGAUGUUCCUGGAUCUGUCUAGGUGGGUGAUUUUGGGCCUCUUUAGUCACUUGGCCUCUUUGGGUUUAGGAAGCUGAUCUGCAGGGUCAGGUAGAGACCCUCCUCCCCGCUACCAAAGCUUAAAGAGGUGGCCAGUGACCCAUGAAGAGCUCAGUCCAGUCCCACAGAGAUGCUUCCAGGCACAGAGCACAUAGGCUCUGCAGUUCUGGGUACCACUGGUCUCUUCCUUCUUCUCCAAGCACUUCUUUUCUCGGUGUAGAUAUAAUUCCAGAAGUCCUUACCAAACAGCUGAUGUUUGAGGUGUGGGGUGUAUUUUGACUUGGGGAAGGUGUUCUGUAGGCAGAGGGCAGAGGGCUUGCACCUCAGUAAUUAUGUGCAUCAGGGAACAGGUAAAGAAGGUGUAACCCAGCAGAAGUAUUGAGCCAAGAGCGGAGAAGACAGCCAGGUUGGAGCGGAUUUAGUGGGGCGCUGGAAGUGACCAAGUCCCGAAGAUCCAGUUGAGAAGCUCGGCUUCAAAGGGCCCCAGAGAGAGGAGGAGGCGUCGGUAGAGGGAGUCGGGGAGGGGUACAGCCCCCUGGGGAGGCAAGGGGACAUGGGACCCAGAGCACAGGUGGAAGGUUAGCCUACGAGAGGACAGCCAGCGCUUCCAUUUCAACAGGAGGGAAGGAAGCAAGGAAGGAUUCAGAUCCACCUGUAGGACUGGUGGCCUCAGUGGAUCUCCUAGACAUUUGAACCAGGGGUCGAUGGGAGCAUAGGGAGGUGACUGGGGAGCCCACCACAGGGGCAGGAAAAGCAAGGGUGGAGGGUGGGGGAUGGAGACAGUGCCUGUCCUGCCACCUGCUCUUCAGCCGUGAAAAGAGGCAUUGGGCACAGCCACACAGACAGGAAAGAGAGAGAGGACAGGAGAAGGAGGUCCUUGGAGGGCCGGCAAGGGAACAGUGCAAGCUGGCAAGUCCAGGAAGGCUUCCUGGAGGAGGUGGGACUGAGGACCUGGGCCUUGGAGGAUGGCCAAGACUCAGAUGUUCAGGGGAGGGAGGAGAACAGGAAACCACAUGUGCUGAGAACCCUGCUCCCUGCCUGAUGGCACCUGUCACAGUCUCACUGCAGCCUUUUGUCAGAGAAGUGACAAGACUUGCUUGAGGUCUUUGCGCUGGUAGAAGGGGAGCCGGUCCCUGGUUCGAGGCCGUGUGUCUCCAGGGUGUACCAUGCUGCACCCAAGGACCGUGUGGGCAAGCCAAGACCAUGGCUGGGCUGGCCAGAGCAGCUCUGACACCGGAGAAAUCGGGCCAGGGUGACAGCACUGGGGAGCCUGGAAAAGCUGCUGAUGGGAGGUGGCGAGAGCCGCGGGAGCUACUGUGUGGCUCUGAGUGGCAAGUGGCAUGGGCAACGGUCACCGGCGCUCAACCCCACGGAGCCGUGGGUGCCGCACACCUGACGUCCGGGAGGAGGUGCCGCGAGGACCUGUCAGCAUCCUCAGCAGCUGCUCCAGGCUGCAAGCCGAGGAAGGCAGCCGUCAGCUCUGCUGACAGAUUUCCGACGGGCCCUUCCAGGAUGUUCGCGUGCCUUCUCCAGCUACGCGUUCCCAGCUUCCACUGCUUCCCCUGCUGGUUUGAUUGAGACAGUCAUAGCGAGCGAGAGGGCAAGACUUUACACCGAGAGCGGAGCAGGGGGUGCGGGGAUGAGCGGGGGGCCUCCUCUGGGAGGAAUUUACCUUUUAAAACUGGAGGGGGAACAGGUGCUCUGGAAAUGGCUCGUAACUGCAUGAGGCCGGGACGGCGUUCCUGGAGGGGAAGGUGACUCAGAUUAACCGCGCUCCGCUGAAACUGAUGGCCUCCUGGCUCUGUCAUUAAAACAGGUGGCUGUCAUUACGGCCGCUCGCUCCUAAUGGGAAGAUAAUACAGGGGGAGAGAGAUUUAUACGGGCCCCAGAAAGAUGAAAUUGCACAUAAAGGAGGAACCAAGGCAUAAAGGGGGCCAAUUCGGGAAGUUUCUCGCCCCACAGGACAGCACGUGGUUCUCAUUAAUGGCGUAGCAUGUGCGUGGCUCUAUCCAGAGGGUUGCGUUACCUGCAGUGCUUUCCUUUAUGCAGUUUUAUUCAAGUUGCAUUUGGGAAAGAUAUUUCUUUUCCCUCUUUGGAUGUUUUUCUUCCAUUUAAGAAAGGAGCCGGUAUAAAAAUGUACUGCCUGUGAUGGAAUGUACCCCCUUCCUUUUCCUACAAAUAAUGUUGGCUGCCCAGGAGGCUGUGGGAAACCCAGAGUCUGCUCCAAACAAUGAUGAGGGCAUAAUGGGGAGCUCGGUGAGGUUCCCAAUGGGCCCACCUGCCCUAUUUUUUUUUUUUUCCUUAAAAAGAGGAAGUGUUUUUUUUUUUUUUAAAAAAAAAAACCAAAGCCAGAGUUCCUGUCAUGGCGCAGCUGAAAUGAAUCCAACUAGGAACCAUGAGGACACAGGUUCGAUCCCUGGCCUCACUCUGUGGGUUAAGGAUCCGGCGUUGCCAUGAGCUGUGGUGUAGGUUGCAGAUGCAGGUCAGAUCUGAUGUUGCUGUGGCUGUGGUGUAGGCCGGUGGCUACAGCUCCAAUUUGACCCCUAGCCUGGGAACCUCCAUAUGC